Molecule: non-coding RNA, 1628 nt
Organism: Meleagris gallopavo (turkey)
Lineage: Eukaryota; Metazoa; Chordata; Aves; Galliformes; Phasianidae
Source: RefSeq, a predicted model, not a curated record
AAGAAAAGAAAAAAAAAAGAUGGAUAAGAAACUGACUAAAGAGUUACAUUAAAAGAGGGUGUAGCAGAAAUGCUAAAUCAUGGUUUGAAACAGUGACUGAAGACCUGGUGGGAAUGCAGGGCCAACCCAGGGGAGCUCAGCUGCAUGCAAUGUACCUGAGUGACUAGAAGGGCUGGAGCCAGGAUCCACCCCUACCCAGACCUCAUUUAAGGGUUGGCAGUGUAGGGUGUCUUGGUGGAGAUUUCUACCUAGCUGAGGUCUUCUAAAGACAAGGUCACAGAGGCAAAGAACUGAACUACUUCAAUAUGGAAAUCUAGACAUGAAUGAAGGGGUAUGUGUGACACAGUGAGGUCUUCCAAGAGUUUCUUCUGAAUAAAAAAAUCAUAGCUUAUUGAGAUUGAGCUGAAUGGAAGGUUGUCAGGGAUACUUCACAUGCAUUGGUAUUCUACAAAGUCUCUUGCAGAUGCUUUAUCACGCUGCUAAAGAAUUCAAGUUCUUCAGCCUUCAUAAAACACACACUGUCUGUAAUUACCUUAAAGUUUUCCUUCCUGAUUUUGUUUCUUGACUUCUACUUAAAGGAAAAUGACUGAAAAGUUAAGUGACGAUAGUGUGUUUUAUCUCAUCAAAUGUGUGAAGAAUCUAUGGCAACUAGGCUCCUAACACACCUAUUAUAGUCAAGUGCAUACAAUUAGAUGGAUGUAAAUGGACUUGAUAUUUAUUCCUAAAGAUUGUUGUCUACACAAAUAUGGGUACUUAGUUUAGAAGCAACAAACACAAUGGUGUUAAAAACCUACUAGACAAUUCAGUGUGAUUUAUUGAUAACUGUGCUUGUAGCUGCUAUGAAGACUCUUGCCACUAGUAAGAGAAAAGAUUACUCUGUUCAUCACUGUAUUGUUCCUUGAAUUAUGAGUAAUAGUACUCUGAAAUUGGGCAGUUUAUUUCUCAUAGCCUGUGCAGUGAUAUCAAUGUAUCAGUUCUGUGAUGUGGCUUAUCUUUUUCAAUCCAGGAAGCUGGAGUUCAAAGGUCUUUCUUAAAGCUCAGAUUACGAAGUGUCAGUAUAAUCUACUGCUACUCAGCCUGUGCGUCUCCUUAUACUUCUUGGCAGAGAAAUAAAAUAGCAGAUUCAUAAGUCAGGUCAGAUCUACUCUGUAUCUCUUUUCUUGAAUCCUAUCCUGACAAGCUCAGAUAAAUUAUCUCUUGGUGUAGAAAUGGCCUGAAUCACAUAUAGAAAAUGAAUGUCUCUAAACCUGCCAGUCCUCCACAAAUCCUCAGGUUGCAUUUCCUUUGAACUGCCUUCUCAGCUAGUGAUGCUAACAGAGAAAACACAGAAUUAGUUUUUCUUUCUUCUUUGUAGCGUUGUCUCUGUGGAGUCCAGUGUUACAAGUCAUGGAACCUUUUAAGAAAGAGCUGGCAGUUGCAUGCUGUAUGUAACUUUCUAAAUCCAAACCCCACAUAAAUGGAAAACAGUUACUCCCACGCUUCUCAGUCCCUUUUGGUUACCAUCUGGAACAACAAUAAAAUAAAGCUAAUUCUUUUUAUCACCUUAGAUACAUAAAUCCAGCUGAAAAUGUUUGUUUUUUUUUUCCUAAUAAAUUGUGUGAUUAAAUUCAAGCUAAAAAGUUGCUGGU